GAUCCAGACUCCUACGGGAGGCAGCAGUGGGGAAUAUUGCACAAUGGGGGAAACCCUGAUGCAGCGACGCCGCGUGAGUGAAGAAGUAUUUCGGUAUGUAAAGCUCUAUCAGCAGGGAAGAAAAUGACGGUACCUGAUUAAGAAGCCCCGGCUAACUACGUGCCAGCAGCCGCGGUAAUACGUAGGGGGCAAGCGUUAUCCGGAUUUACUGGGUGUAAAGGGAGCGUAGACGGCAGCGCAAGUCUGAAGUGAAAUGCCGGUGCUUAACCCCGGAACUGCUUUGGAAACUGUGCAGCUCGAGUGCAGGAGAGGUAAGCGGAAUUCCUAGUGUAGCGGUGAAAUGCGUAGAUAUUAGGAGGAACACCAGUGGCGAAGGCGGCUUACUGGACUGUAACUGACGUUGAGGCUCGAAAGCGUGGGGAGCAAACAUGAGUAGAUACCCCGGUA
This 447-nucleotide ribosomal RNA is filed under the name uncultured bacterium. Its description in RNAcentral is "bacterial SSU rRNA". It matches the Rfam family "Bacterial small subunit ribosomal RNA", at positions 328 to 792 of the family's 1533-position model. The record is from RNAcentral.